RNAcentral lists this ribosomal RNA (354 nucleotides) under uncultured Mycobacteriales bacterium. Its description in RNAcentral is "bacterial SSU rRNA". It matches the Rfam family "Bacterial small subunit ribosomal RNA", at positions 1031 to 1382 of the family's 1533-position model. Lineage: Bacteria; Bacillati; Actinomycetota; Actinomycetes; Mycobacteriales. The record is from RNAcentral.
GAGACAGGUGCUGCAUGGCUGUCGUCAGCUCGUGCGUGAGGUGUGGGUUAAGUCCGCACGAGCGCAACCCUCGUUCUAUGUUGCCAGCACGUGAGUGGUGGGGAACUCAUAGGAGACUGCCGGGGUCAACUCGGAGGGAAGUGGGGAUGAACGUCAAAUCAUCAUGCCCCUUACGUCUUGGGCUUCACGCAUGCUACAAUGGCCGGUACAGAGGGCUGCGAAACCGUGAGGUGGAGCGAAUCCCUUAAAAGCUGGUCUCAGUUCGGAUUGGGGUCUGCAACUCGACCCCAUGAAGUCGGAGUCGCUAGUAAUCGCAGAUCAGCAACGCUGCGGUGAAUACGUUCCCCGGGCCUU